UACGGAGGAUCCGAGCGUUAUCCGGAUUUAUUGGGUUUAAAGGGUGCGCAGGCGGGGGAUUAAGUCGGCGGUGAAAUUUUGCAGCUCAACUGUAAAAGUGCCUUCGAAACUGGUUUCCUUGAGUGUAGAUGAAGUAGGCGGAAUUUGUGGUGUAGCGGUAAAAUGCAUAGAUAUCACGAGGAACUCCGAUUGCGCAGGCAGCUUACUAAACUACUACUGACGCUCAGGCACGAAGGCGUGGGGAUCAAACAGGAUUAGAUACCCUGGUAGUCCCU
RNAcentral lists this ribosomal RNA (275 nucleotides) under uncultured prokaryote. RNAcentral's name for it is "partial 16S ribosomal RNA". It matches the Rfam family "Bacterial small subunit ribosomal RNA", at positions 524 to 798 of the family's 1533-position model. The record is from RNAcentral.